UUUUUUUUUUUUUUUCCUCCCUAAGCCAGUUUUUUCUGGCAGUUACCCCCGGGAGAUUGAAAAGUAGCCAAAACUGGGUCAUGUGAAUUGAGGCAGGCAGAUGAAUUUCCAGCUGGUUGCCUGACUUGAAGUCAGAUUGGCCGAUGGCGGUGGAAGAGUGCAGUUGUACAGGGAGAAAGGAGUGAACUGGGAGAGGUUGAGAGAGACACCGCACACUCUCGUGUAAGGCACGUGGUGGCUCUUAGAGUGAGAGUAGGAGGGAAAUCGGCUGUCAGGUGCACAAAGGGAGGGCAGUCCAGGCAUGGGUUUGGUCAGGAGGCAGGGGGAAGGGCUCCGAGUUGUUUUUGGAGAGAGUGGCCAUGAGAGGGCGCCAGAGCAGCAGCAGAGCCCAGCAGCUGCUUGGGAUUGGCACUUCCCAGCCCAGACAUGGGGUUUGAAUUGGUUGGGCAGAGGGGUGGAAGUGGGGGUGGUGAUGGUGAUAGAUUUCCCAGGAUGUGCCUUGUGAGGAGGGCUAGUUUAUGGGUCACCUCUGACUCUGCAAUCUAAAUGAUCUCACCUGACAGAAAGGACACUUUUCUGCCUUCACACCUGGGGGUCACUUUCAGGCAGCUUGUGUAGCCCAAAGUCCAGACAAUGGGGCAGGCUGUCAUGAGCUCAGACAGCCUCUGGAUUCUGCAGAGGCAGACAAGUGAACAGAAGUGGAGUCGGCUUGAAUAUUGGGCAGGCAGUGUUCUAGGAUCAGACUUGCGUGGUGUUUGGAGUUUGGAAAGCUGGGCUGUUGGUGGCGGUUCAUGGAGAGUGUAAAAGCAGAGGUCUCCUGCUGGGCAGGCAGCAUCCAAUAGACUUGUUUUCUUUCUAAAGUUUCUUCUUUUCCUUCCAUCUGAGCCUCUCCCUUCUCUUGUUAUCCCCGGAGAGGAAAAAUCUGACCUGAAGCCAGGUCAGAUAAAUUAGGAAUGGAGGAUGAUUUAUUUAAAAUGGUGAACCUAUUUGGAGUUGGUGCAGCUCAUGGACUAAUGAGAAUGGUGACGGAUUGGGGAGAGUGACUGCUAUUGCUGGCAUUAAGGGGGGAAACUACCCUCUUAAAGGUGUUUGGUUGUUCUUAGAGUGAGGGGUGGGACUAAGUCCGCUAUCUGGUGCACAGGCCCAGGGCAGUCCUUGGGUUUGGGCAAGAGGCGGAGGCAAGGGCUCUGAGUUGCCAUUAGAGAGAAUGUGCACCAGAAGGUGCCAAAGCACCACACAAGCUCAGCAGCUGCUUGCUAUGGGCACUUCCAGGCUCAGCAAUGUGGUUGGAAAUGGGGAUGGAGGAUUCCCCAGAGGGUGUCUGGUAAGAAGGGGUUCCUACAGCCUGCAAAUGCCUCUCCAGCCCAAAGAGGCUCCCCAGGAGAAAGGGAAAGGGUUCCACCUUCCCAAAUCUGGAUCACUUUGGGGUGGCAGAGCUAGCCCAAAGCCCACAUUAAAGGACAGGCCUUGGGGUUCCAACUGCCUUGGGAUGAUGGAGAAGGGGAACUCUGAAACAGGGAAGCUGCCUUGGGUCCUGGGCAUGUGGUUUUGCAGAGUUAGGCUUGCACGGUGUUUGGCCUCUGGAGAGCUGGGCUGGUGGUGGUCAGUGGAGACUGCUAAAGCAGAGGUCCUUUGGAGGGCAGCCUAGGUCCACUCCAGGGACCAGUCUCUUGAGGGGUUCUCUGAAAAGUUCUGUGUUUUCCUUUCCUCUGAGCCUCUCCCUCCUUUUGUGCACCCCUGAGGGAAAAUCUUAGCUUAAAGGCAGUCACAUAAAAUGUGGCCUGGCAAAGCAUUUUGGAUGGGGUGUGGGGGAAUCUAAAGCCUGUUCCCUGACCUGAAGUGUGUUCAGCUGAUGGGCUCACAGGCGUACUGACAGAUAGGGAGCAUGCCGGGAUAUGGGAGCUAUUGAGCGAGAAAUAGCACCCUCCAUAAGGUCUUUGAUUUUCAUGAGAGAGGGAGAAAGAGAGACACAGAGACAGGAGAGGACCAGAUCAGGCUCACAGGUGCUCAAGAGCAGUGCAAACAGAACUGGGAGGGGUCAGGGGGCAGAAGACUGGGAUCUCAAGGGCUGGUAUGGGCAAUGGCCGUUAGAGGACGAGGAGCCCAGUUGUGCCCAUCUGCUGCCUGGUGUUGGCACUUCCACACUCAGAGAUGGGGUUGCCAGUGGUACUGGUGGAACCCCAAGGAUGUGCACAGCGACGGAAGGUGAGUUUUGGGCAUCUUCUGACUCUCUGGAUGAUGCAUGUCCUGAUAAUGGGUUCAGAGCUCUUCCUUCAAGGCUAGGGGUUGUUUCCAUACUGCUCACAGAGCGGUAAGACCAGUCGAUGUGACCAGCUAUCCGUGGUCUUAAUGCCUUUGGAUUCUCUGAUGGAAUAGCCAUGAAUCAAAAUGUAUUUGGUUUGAAUCUUGGGCAUGCAGUUCUUGAGAGCCAGGAUUUUGUCCGAUGUGGCAUCUGGAACGCAUGCCCGUGGACCUGAUUGGAGGGUGUAGAAGGGGGUUUGUGGCU
RNAcentral lists this long non-coding RNA (2506 nucleotides) under Sus scrofa (pig). Its description in RNAcentral is "lncRNA (ENSSSCG00030070822.1)". The record is from RNAcentral. Lineage: Eukaryota; Metazoa; Chordata; Mammalia; Artiodactyla; Suidae.